Molecule: ribosomal RNA, 252 nt
Filed under: uncultured bacterium
Lineage: Bacteria
Description: partial 16S ribosomal RNA
Rfam family: Bacterial small subunit ribosomal RNA
Source: RNAcentral
UACGUAGGUCCCGAGCGUUGUCCGGAUUUAUUGGGCGUAAAGCGAGCGCAGGUGGUUUAUUAAGUCUGGUGUAAAAGGCAGUGGCUCAACCAUUGUAUGCAUUGGAAACCGGUAGACUUGAGUGCAGGAGAGGAGAGUGGAAUUCCAUGUGUAGCGGUGAAAUGCGUAGAUAUAUGGAGGAACACCGGUGGCGAAAGCGGCUCUCUGGCCUGUAACUGACACUGAGGCUCGAAAGCGUGGGGAGCAAACAGG